Molecule: long non-coding RNA, 176 nt
Organism: Xenia sp. Carnegie-2017
Lineage: Eukaryota; Metazoa; Cnidaria; Anthozoa; Malacalcyonacea; Xeniidae
Exons: 2
Source: RefSeq, a predicted model, not a curated record
GUGUAUCGGAAAGGAGGAAUAUCGAAAACGUAGCUAUGUCAUCUUUAACCGCACAAAGAGCAGUAUUUUACACAUGUGUUAAACAGUGUCAGAAAUGAGGCGUUCACUAUGACUAAUAAAGGAAGCACUUUAUCAAAUAUGUAUAUGUACAACGUAAUGGAAGGGUGUAUCGGAAA